RNAcentral lists this small nuclear RNA (290 nucleotides) under Microcebus murinus (gray mouse lemur). Its description in RNAcentral is "7SK RNA (ENSMICG00000026418.2)". It matches the Rfam family "7SK RNA". From Rfam's summary of the family: 7SK was discovered as an abundant small nuclear RNA in the mid-70s but a possible function has only recently been suggested. Two independent studies have found that 7SK RNA binds the CDK9/cyclin T complex (known as elongation factor P-TEFb). Lineage: Eukaryota; Metazoa; Chordata; Mammalia; Primates; Cheirogaleidae. The record is from RNAcentral.
UCAUGUGAGGGCCAUCUGGCUGCAACAUCUGUCACCCCAUUGAUGGCCAGGGUUGAGUUGGCUGAUUUGGCUGGCCAGGCGGUGUCCCCUCCCUCACCACUCCAUGUGCGCCCCUCCUGGUUGAAGAGGAAGACCUUCCCCGCUAGAGGAGGACCAGUUUUCGGUCAAGGGUAUAUGAGUAGCUGCGCUCCCCUGCUAGAACCUCCAAACAAGCUUUUGAGAAAUGUAGCUUUCUAUCUAAUGUAUUCAGAAUUCUUAUAAAAUUUGUGCAUAAAACCGUAAUUUUGUAU